RNAcentral lists this long non-coding RNA (342 nucleotides) under Anas platyrhynchos platyrhynchos (common mallard). Its description in RNAcentral is "lncRNA (ENSAPLG00000025859.1)". Lineage: Eukaryota; Metazoa; Chordata; Aves; Anseriformes; Anatidae. The record is from RNAcentral.
UAAAAAAUGCAAUGCCUGAUCUUGAGUGAUAUACGGAGACUAAAUACAUAGAUGUGAGCCUCAAUCAAGCAGUGUGACAUACAUAAGCAACACCAGAUCCUGAUAUGAAGAACUUAUCUCACAGACUACAGCAGAUACUGCAGACAAACAGGAGUCAUAUGCUGUUUCUGACUUGCUACUGAAAACCUACUUCCAGCAAGUCCUGUGAAGUCCUCUCUUCUCAAGAUUCCCCCACCUCUAACUGACCUGCACCCUGCGGUGGGUCUGGCAGCUUCUCCUAAUUCAAGCCUGUAUCCAGAAAAGUUGUGGUCCUUGCCAUGACCUGUUCCUUGACAUGUUUCU